This 254-nucleotide ribosomal RNA is filed under the name uncultured bacterium. Its description in RNAcentral is "partial 16S ribosomal RNA". It matches the Rfam family "Bacterial small subunit ribosomal RNA", at positions 524 to 776 of the family's 1533-position model. The record is from RNAcentral.
UACGUAGGGGGCAAGCGUUGUCCGGAAUCAUUGGGCGUAAAGCGCGUGUAGGCGGCUCGAUAAGUCUGCUGUGAAAGCCCCCGGGCUCAACCCGGGAAGUGCACUCGAUACUGCCACGCUAGAGUAUCGGAGAGGUUGGUGGAAUUCUCGGUGUAGAGGUGAAAUUCGUAGAUAUCGAGAGGAACACCGGUGGCGAAGGCGGCCAACUGGACGAAUACUGACGCUGAGACUCGAAAGCGUGGGGAGCAAACAGG